RNAcentral lists this ribosomal RNA (484 nucleotides) under uncultured bacterium. Its description in RNAcentral is "partial 16S ribosomal RNA". It matches the Rfam family "Bacterial small subunit ribosomal RNA", at positions 39 to 507 of the family's 1533-position model. The record is from RNAcentral.
GGGGGGGGGGGGGGGGGGGGGGGGCGGGGGCGGGGCGAGCGGCAGCGCGGGCUUCGGCCUGGCGGCGGGUGGGGAACGGGGGGGGAAUGCAUCGGAACGUGCCCAGUAGGGGGGGAUAGCCCGGCGAACGCCGGAUUCCUCCCGCAUACGACCUGAGGGUGAAAGCGGGGGACCGGACGGCCUCGCGCUCUUGUCGCGGCCGAUGUCGGCUUCGCUAGUUGGAGGGGGAAGGGCUUACCAAGGCGGCGCUCCGUAGCUGGUCUUAGAGGACGACCCACCACACUGGGACUGCGACACGGCCCCGGCUCCUUCGGGAGGCCGCAGUGUGGAAUUUUGGACAAUGGGGGCAACCCUGAUCCAGCCAUGCCGCGUGCGGGAAGAAGGCCUUCGGGUUGUAAACCGCUUUUGUUCGGGAAGAAAUCCUCUGGGCUAAUACCCCGGGGGGAUGACGGUACCGGAAGAAUAAGCACCGGCUAACUACGUG